Molecule: long non-coding RNA, 530 nt
Organism: Harmonia axyridis
Lineage: Eukaryota; Metazoa; Arthropoda; Insecta; Coleoptera; Coccinellidae
Exons: 3
Source: RefSeq, a predicted model, not a curated record
UCCACCAUUUGAGUACGGCCGAGAAAUAUGUCCAUCUCAUUUGUUUUAUAACAAUAUGAUGAUGAUGAAAUCUCUUGUUAACUAGAAACAUAGAUUUUAUGAAGACAGCAGUGGUAGCUCGUGAAUAUGUGCUGUUAGAUAGUUUAUGUAAGUUUCCUCAUCAAUUUGAGGUUUAGAAGCCGACAAGUAACUUAUUGAGCGCUCGUUCUUUUAAAAAUGAUAGAUAGAGAAUACCGGAAAUGAAAUACUGAAUAUUUCAGUGAUAAAUGGUGUGAGCGAAUUUAAAAUUCCCGUGUGAAAUAACUCGCACACCAAGAGCAACUCCGUUUGUUUCCUUACUAAAUUGACUGUUCCGAGUCCUAUCAUUGCUGCCUUCUGCUACCACCUAAGUGACCUAAGUGUAUUUUGGGGCAGGUUCCUUGAGAUGCUGGGUCGUUUUACGAUGGACGAGACCAUUUGCGCUGAUGAUGAACGGUUUUAUAUGGCUGCUCAUCUCAGAUUCGUCAUUGACCGGCCUGAUCCCCUUCGAU